CGCGGAGUAGAGCAGUCUGGUAGCUCGCAAGGCUCAUAACCUUGAGGUCACGGGUUCAAAUCCUGUCUCCGCAA
Molecule: transfer RNA, 74 nt
Filed under: Iris halophila
Lineage: Eukaryota; Viridiplantae; Streptophyta; Magnoliopsida; Asparagales; Iridaceae
Also listed under: 3 other names
Description: tRNA-fMet
Rfam family: tRNA
About the family: Transfer RNA (tRNA) molecules are approximately 80 nucleotides in length.
Source: RNAcentral